Molecule: small nucleolar RNA, 70 nt
Organism: Scaptodrosophila lebanonensis
Lineage: Eukaryota; Metazoa; Arthropoda; Insecta; Diptera; Drosophilidae
Product: small nucleolar RNA U18
Exons: 1
Source: RefSeq, a predicted model, not a curated record
UUAUUGAUGAAAUUAAUUGGUCCGUGUUUAUGAAUUUUGGUUGAAUAUAUCAUUCCAAUUACUGAAUUUA